AUUAUUCUUUGAGUCUGUAUUGUGUCUCAUCUUACAUAUAUGUGGCAGUAGAUCGAGUUUUACUGAGAAUGUUUACUUAACCUUUCUCGAAUGCAUAUGUCAGUCCAUCCUAGCGAGUGCAUAAACGUACAUUGAUGCAUAUGAACUACAUAAUGAUACACUUGGGGCUUAUGCAGUCCAACAACUUGUCAAAAAGUAUGUAACACCAUAGUUUCUACC
This 219-nucleotide long non-coding RNA is filed under the name Panax ginseng (ginseng). RNAcentral describes it as "long non-coding RNA (PGIN_LNC006965)". Lineage: Eukaryota; Viridiplantae; Streptophyta; Magnoliopsida; Apiales; Araliaceae. The record is from RNAcentral.